Molecule: ribosomal RNA, 253 nt
Filed under: uncultured bacterium
Lineage: Bacteria
Description: partial 16S ribosomal RNA
Rfam family: Bacterial small subunit ribosomal RNA
Source: RNAcentral
UACGUAGGGUGCAAGCGUUAAUCGGAAUUACUGGGCGUAAAGCGUGCGCAGGCGGUUUUGUAAGUCUGUCGUGAAAGCCCCGGGCUCAACCUGGGAAUUGCGAUGGAGACUGCAAGGCUUGAAUCUGGCAGAGGGGGGUGGAAUUCCACGUGUAGCAGUGAAAUGCGUAGAGAUGUGGAGGAACACCGAUGGCGAAGGCAGCCCCCUGGGCCAACACUGACGCUCAGGCACGAAAGCGUGGGGAGCAAACAGG